Molecule: small nuclear RNA, 125 nt
Organism: Stegostoma tigrinum
Lineage: Eukaryota; Metazoa; Chordata; Chondrichthyes; Orectolobiformes; Stegostomatidae
Source: RefSeq, a predicted model, not a curated record
GAGCUAACCGUAGCGAAAAGGUUUGAAUGCCCCUUAAUAAUGAUGGAAGGGAUCCCAGUGGCCUUACAACAUACAAAUGUUUAAGGUAUUGACACCUACAUAGUGGCAUCUAACCAUAUUAUUUG